GAUGAACGCUGGCGGCGUGCUUAACACAUGCAAGUCGAACGGAAAGGCCCAAGCUUGCUUGGGUACUCGAGUGGCGAACGGGUGAGUAACACGUGGGUGAUCUGCCCUGCACUUCGGGAUAAGCCUGGGAAACUGGGUCUAAUACCGGAUAGGACCACAUUUUGGAUGGUGUGGUGGAAAGUUUUUCGGUGUGGGAUGAGCUCGAGGCCUAUCAGCAUGUUGGUGGGGUAAUGGGCUAACAAGGCGUCGGCGGGUAGACGGCCUGCGAGGGUGUACGGCCACUGUGGGACAUAGAACCGGCCCAGACUGCGACCGGAGGCAGCAGUGGUGAAUAUUGCACAAUCGGUGCAAGCCUGAUGCAGCGACGCCGCGUGGGGGAUGACGGCCUUCGGGUUGUAAACUCCUUUCGCUAGGGACGAAGCGUUAUGUGACGGUACCUGGAGAAGAAGCACCGGCUAACUACGUG
This 466-nucleotide ribosomal RNA is filed under the name uncultured bacterium. RNAcentral describes it as "partial 16S ribosomal RNA". It matches the Rfam family "Bacterial small subunit ribosomal RNA", at positions 28 to 507 of the family's 1533-position model. The record is from RNAcentral.